UUUAUUGUAACUAUCUUAAUUAUCUUUAUAUUGAAUUUGUCAGUUUACUGACUAUGACGAUAAACGAAUUUCGUAAUAAACAUUGCGGACGUGGGGGCAGUACCCACCACCUCCACCAUUUUAAAUUUAAAGGGGGGUGAAUUAGGAUCGACGAAUGUCUAAAGGCUGUUCUUUCGUACGAGAUGGUUCCGACGUAACGGGCCAAUUUACAAAUGCUAACGAAAGUUACGCACUUGCUGCUUAAUUAACUUAGUUAAUUAAGUUACGGGGUCUGGGGCACCUGGCAACAGAACGCCCCUACU
This 302-nucleotide transfer-messenger RNA is filed under the name Candidatus Pelagibacteraceae bacterium. It matches the Rfam family "Alphaproteobacteria transfer-messenger RNA". From Rfam's summary of the family: Bacterial tmRNA, also known as 10Sa RNA or SsrA, is named for its dual tRNA and mRNA-like properties. Its role is to liberate the mRNA from a stalled ribosome. The record is from RNAcentral. Lineage: Bacteria; Pseudomonadati; Pseudomonadota; Alphaproteobacteria; Candidatus Pelagibacterales; Candidatus Pelagibacteraceae.